This 301-nucleotide ribosomal RNA is filed under the name uncultured bacterium. RNAcentral describes it as "partial 16S ribosomal RNA". It matches the Rfam family "Bacterial small subunit ribosomal RNA", at positions 509 to 808 of the family's 1533-position model. The record is from RNAcentral.
CAGCAGCCGCGGGAAUACGUAGGGUGCAAGCGUUAAUCGGAAUUACUGGGCGUAAAGCGUGCGCAGGCGGUUAUAUAAGACAGAUGUGAAAUCCCCGGGCUCAACCUGGGAACUGCAUUUGUGACUGUAUAGCUAGAGUACGGCAGAGGGGGAUGGAAUUCCGCGUGUAGCAGUGAAAUGCGUAGAUAUGCGGAGGAACACCGAUGGCGAAGGCAAUCCCCUGGGCCUGUACUGACGCUCAUGCACGAAAGCGUGGGGAGCAAACAGGAUUAGAGACCCCGUGUAGUCCCUGUCUCUUAUA